CCCCGCGCGGACCCGCGCCCAGCGCCCUGAACUCGCGCACUCACCCGCCGGUCCCGCGGACUGGCGCUCAGCCCCGGGAGAGCCUCACGUCAUGGUGUUGCGGCGCGCUGAUUGGGCGCACCCGACGCUCGGCCCGCCCCGCCGCCUUCUUGGCCUCUCCGCGCGUACACCCUGCUCGCGGCCUUGCGAUUGGCGCGUGCGCGCACAUCGCCCCGCCCCGCGCACGCCGCACGUCCGCCCCGCCCGCCGUCCCCGGCGCGACCAGAGCGCCUGACGCUGGGGGGCCGUGUGGGCCCUGACUUCCGGAGGGCUGGGCCCUGGUCCUCCGCUACCGCGUGCGCCCCUUAAAGACCCCUGCCCGCCGCCCAGGACGGAUGGCGACCCCGGCCCUAGCCUGUCCCCAGACCCUGGACCAAGGCCCCGGCCCUGCCCCGAACCCCUCAUCCCAUCCCCGGGACCCAAGCCCCGGCCCUGGCCACCCAGGACACGCCCUGGCCCUUCCCCGAACUCCCACCCCACAGCUGGGAUCAAGGUCCCGGCCCUGCCCCGAACACCCCACCCCACACCCAGGACCCAGGCCCCGGCCCUGCCCCGAACUCCCACCCCACACCUGGGACCAAGGUCCCAGCCCUACCCCGAAUGCCACACCCCACACCCAGGACACAGGCCCCGGCCCUGCCCCGAACUCCCACCCCACACCUGGGAUCAAGGUCCGGGCCCUGCCCGGAACUCCCCACCCGACACCCGGGACCCAGGCCCCGGCCCUGCCCCAAACUCCCACCCCACACCCGGGACCAAGGCCCCGGCACUGCCCCGAACGCCCCACCAGGGACCCAGGCCCCAGCCCUGUCCCGAACUCCCGCCCCACACCUGAGACGAAGGUCCCGGCCCCGAAGUCCCAACCCCACACCCAGGACCCAGGCCCCGGCCCUGCCCUGAACUCCCCACCCUACACACGUAACCAAGGCCCCGGCCCUGCCCCGAACCCCCUCCCCACACCCCUAACCAAGGCCUCGGUUCAGCCCCGGAAUCCCCAACUCCACACCUGGGAUCAAGGCCCCGGCCCCACGUUUCCUAGAGGCGCUGGGUUCGGGCCCACGUUGCAACGAGUCAGAUGCUCUUGGUAGCUCAGGGAGGCGUUCACACUCCUGCCGUUUCCGUGAGGAUGGUGACGACUCCGAACUAUAGCAGCAUACUCUACCUACCCUUGAUCAGUUUAUGGAAGAAAAGGAAACCAAACAAAUGGUUUUGCUGUUGUUACUGCUCACCUGGUUUGAUUCAGUGGCGUCGCGGUUGGUCUCUGCUACAGUCCAUUACUCACAGUGCCAGCACACGUUUCCUUAAAAAGCCUCAUCACCAUCCUCCUGCAAUGUGACCUUCACCGGCUCCCUGUUGCCUGCCCAGGAGGAUAAAGUCCAAGUUCUUCUGUGGAAAGAAGACCCUUCACACGCUAGUCCCAGCCUGUCUUCAGCCCAGCCCCCUAUGUUUCCUUUCCUGCCUUAUCCUAAGACAUCCUUACCUUCCAAUCACACUCACUUUCCGAGCAUUUUUGAAGGUAUUGAGGGAGUUGAGUCUACACUUGAAUAAAAUACAGACUUUACACUCCAGACUGCACAGUUGACAGAUCUAGAUUUAUUACAAGAAGUCCAUGAUGGAGACAGCUCAGGAAUGGAAGAGACUCAAGCCCAAAGAUGAGAAGAACCUCUGUCCUGGAAGUCGGUUCUCUGUCUAGUGGAACAGCCUCUGCAAAGUGUAGCACACGAUGAGUUAAUAUAUCUCACUUUUAGAAAGAAAGAUACUGACAUGCCACCGAUGUGGUUUGGAUGUGCGUCCCUCCACCCACAGUCCCAUGCUAGAAGUGUCACUCAUAUUCAGCUUUGAAUCAGUGGGGAACCCAUACAGGGAGAUCAUAAUAAAUAUGGAAAAUUCUGAUAAUUUUGUGAUUCCAUGAGAUAAGAAAAGAACUUCCCUCUCCUGGAAAUCUCACUCUGAGGGGAGCCAGCUGACAUGUCUUAGGCCUCCCUGCACCCCUGGGAGAGGCCCACAUGGAGAGGAGCCCACAGCCAAGGAGGCCUUUUGGAAGUGAACCCUCCAGCCUCACUCCAGCUUUCA
Gorilla gorilla gorilla (western lowland gorilla) is the source of this 2112-nucleotide long non-coding RNA. RefSeq lists it as uncharacterized. The record is from RefSeq and is a predicted model, not a curated record. The transcript has 4 exons. NCBI's taxonomy places the organism in Eukaryota, Metazoa, Chordata, Mammalia, Primates, Hominidae.